RNAcentral lists this unclassified non-coding RNA (2794 nucleotides) under Daphnia pulicaria. Its description in RNAcentral is "dNA excision repair protein ERCC-5-like, transcript variant X3". The record is from RNAcentral. Lineage: Eukaryota; Metazoa; Arthropoda; Branchiopoda; Diplostraca; Daphniidae.
UUUCUGUUUGAAAACAAGCAUGCCGUGAGGUAAGACAACUUGUCUCAUCUGUCAGAGCAGUAAUUUCUUUUGAAUGAAGGAAAACUUUUACUAAAUAAUUUGUGGAUUCAAAGAUGGGAGUUCAUGGAUUGUGGAAUCUACUAGAACCGGUUGGCAAACCUGUUCCGCUAGAAACCCUUGAGAAUAAAGUUCUCGCUGUUGAUGUGUCUAUUUGGCUUCAUCAAGCAACUAAAGGUUUCCGGGAUGCCCAAGGAAAUCCAUUACCAAAUGCCCACUUAUUGGGUUUAUGCCACCGUCUUUGCAAGCUAUUGUUUUUUAAAAUCAAACCAGUAUUUGUUUUUGAUGGUGGGGUUCCAGUACUGAAACGACAAACCAUGGCUGCACGUCAUAACAGGAGAGAUACAGCUGUUAAGAACAAUGAUUUAGUUGCAGAGAAAAUCCUUUCAAACUAUAUUAAGUCAGAAGUUAUCAAUAAACAACUUGGCAAAAAUAAAGGGAAAUCUGGAGCCCCUUUGUUAAAAAAGAAAAAAUUGGAACCUGAUCUAUUUGAGCUUCCGCCAAUUCCAAAUCAAAACACUGAGGAAGUUUCUUCAGAAUCAGAUUUUGACGACGAUGCAAAUGGAAAUCUGGGCGCAAUUUCUUUACAUAUGAAAGGUCACAACAUACAUUCAGUAGAUGUUACAAGUGAAGCUUUCCUUGCUUUGCCAACUGAAAUACAACAUGAAAUUCUAUUGGAACUACGAGACACCCGUAAGCAAUCUUCCUGGAACAGGAUUCACCAAAUGCCUCAGGAGGCUGAUGAUUUUUCUGGAUUUCAAAUGGAAAGGCUGUUGAAGCGAAGAAAUUUGCAACAGCGUCUGAAUGAGGUGGUAAAAGAAAUCGGUCAAAAGAAUCAUGAGCAGUUUGCAUUAAAUCAAGGAGACGUAGCUGAGUCACACAAAAUUGCUUCUGACAAUUCUACUCACUACGUAUUGAUUAAAAAAGCUUUACAACACUCUACGUCACCGACAAAAAUUGGACCAAAAAAAGCCACCGACCCGAACGUAAUAGAGCAGCCCAUAAAAGUCGCAUCAGUUAGUAAGAACCUAGCCACCGAACAAAUUUUGGGAGUGGAUGAAGAUGGAUUUAGUCAACAAGAGUUAUUCGCAAUAUUUGGAAGUGAACAAAAAAAAGAACCAGUAAUGUGUAUUAGUUCAUCUGACGAAGAUUCGGAUUUCGAAGAAGUUCCAUCAGCUCUACCAUACCCUGGGAAUAGAGUCAUCCUUGAUAUUCCGAUCAAUCCUGCAAUAGCUGAAGAAGACGACAUGUUUGCUGAUAUAUUUACCUCUGCCGUUCCCUCGAAAACUGAAAAACCAACACAUCAAUCGGAUGAUCUCAGCUCAGUUGAAACGGAUUCGUCAAUGGAAGAACCUGAUGUUUUCGUUGUGCCUGUGGAUAACACUACGUCAUGCAAAGCAACAGAGUCCAUAAUAGCCACUAGUAAAGAAACAAUAUUGAGAUCAACCACUACAACUCUUGAAAAAGAAAAUAUUCUGAUAUUAUCGGAAAUAACACAAGUAACUCAUGGAGCGGAUUUACAACUUAGCGAUGAAAACUCUUUACCUGUCUGUCAAACUAUUGGCGAGCAGCCGCACAAUUUGUCGGAAGUAAUUGAAGUUAUGGUGCAAAAACCUUUAUUAGAAAAUUCAGCGUUCAUCAAGGAACAUGUGUCGUCUCUUCCUAUCCCUAUAGCAAGAAUUUCCACUGAACCACCACCAAUUGUCCAAUGUGACAACUUAUCCCAGGAUGCCUUAGUUAAUACCAUUGAAGAAACUUCGAAAAUGAUAGAUACUCACCAUACUCACAAAAGAAACGAUGUUGAAGGUAGCUUUGAAGUUCGUAAUGUUGAAAUAACAGGAGAAAAUUCUAGAUCUCAAGUGGCUUUUGAAAUUUCGCCUAAAACUGCGAAGUUAAGUGAGCCACCACCACCACCAGUAGUGCACACAAUAACAACCAAGAGAAAAGAAGAACUUGAAGAGAUGGGAAGAGUUAUCAACGAAGAGCAGUCGAUUUUAAUUCAGGAACAUGGACGGCAAGAACGCCUAGCUUCAUCUAUUACAGACCAGAUGUAUUCCGAAUCCCAGGAGUUGCUGAGGCUAUUUGGAAUUCCUUAUCUUGUUGCUCCAAUGGAGGCUGAGGCGCAGUGCGCUUUCUUGGACGAAGCUGGUCUAACUCAAGGCACCAUAACGGACGAUAGCGAUAUCUGGCUGUUUGGAGGACGCCGAGUCUACAAAAAUUUCUUUAAUCAAGGGAAAUUUGUAGAAUUCUUCGAAGCCGAUGACAUAUACAAUGUUUUCAAACUAGGACGCGAAAAACUUGUUCAUUUGGCUCUUUUAACCGGAAGCGAUUAUACUGAAGGAAUUCAAGGUGUCGGACCGGUUUGUGCCCUAGAAAUUUUAGCUGAAUUUCCAAAUCCUGGUUUGGAAGCAUUGGAAGAGUUUAGUAAUUGGCUUCACAAAGUCCAGGCCAAGAAAAAUGCACCUCCAGAGAAUAAGAUUCGACAGAAAAUACGAAAUCUACAAGUUAAACCCGAAAAUUGGGUUAAAAGUCAGAGCAAGGCUUGACAAUGUAACCAAUUUGCGAUCUGAUGGAGAAGAUUUCCGUUGGUAUCUUAAGGUGAAAUGUGGAAGUUGCAAUGAAGUGUCAGAUAAAUGGAUUUACAUCACUCAGUCUGAGUCAAAUGAUGUGAAGGGAGGGAGAGGGACAGCAAACUUAGUGUUCAAGUGUAAGCUUUGUUCCCGAGAAAAUAAUAUGG